GCGAACAGACGAGGAGCUUGCUCCUCUGACGUUAGCGGCGGACGGGUGAGUAACACGUGGAUAACCUACCUAUAAGACUGGGAUAACUUCGGGAAACCGGAGCUAAUACCGGAUAAUAUAUUGAACCGCAUGGUUCAAUAGUGAAAGACGGUUUUGCUGUCACUUAUAGAUGGAUCCGCGCCGCAUUAGCUAGUUGGUAAGGUAACGGCUUACCAAGGCAACGAUGCGUAGCCGACCUGAGAGGGUGAUCGGCCACACUGGAACUGAGACACGGUCCAGACUCCUACGGGAGGCAGCAGUAGGGAAUCUUCCGCAAUGGGCGAAAGCCUGACGGAGCAACGCCGCGUGAGUGAUGAAGGUCUUCGGAUCGUAAAACUCUGUUAUUAGGGAAGAACAAAUGUGUAAGUAACUAUGCACGUCUUGACGGUACCUAAUCAGAAAGCCACGGCUAACUACGUGCCAGCAGCCGCGGUAAUACGUAGGUGGCAAGCGUUAUCCGGAAUUAUUGGGCGUAAAGCGCGCGUAGGCGGUUUUUUAAGUCUGAUGUGAAAGCCCACGGCUCAACCGUGGAGGGUCAUUGGAACUGGAAAACUUGAGUGCAGAAGAGGAAAGUGGAAUUCCAUGUGUAGCGGUGAAAUGCGCAGAGAUAUGGAGGACACCAGUGGCGA
RNAcentral lists this ribosomal RNA (668 nucleotides) under uncultured Staphylococcus sp. RNAcentral's name for it is "bacterial SSU rRNA". It matches the Rfam family "Bacterial small subunit ribosomal RNA", at positions 66 to 718 of the family's 1533-position model. Lineage: Bacteria; Bacillati; Bacillota; Bacilli; Caryophanales; Staphylococcaceae. The record is from RNAcentral.